This 456-nucleotide unclassified non-coding RNA is filed under the name Hevea brasiliensis (rubber tree). The record is from RNAcentral. Lineage: Eukaryota; Viridiplantae; Streptophyta; Magnoliopsida; Malpighiales; Euphorbiaceae.
CUUGACUGCAUUUGGCCAUUGACUUUUAUCCCUCCUUUCUCAAGAGUAAGUUGCCCUUCAAAGAGGCUGGUAUUUGGUCGAAUUCCAAUGCCUACGAUGACCAUGUCAGCAGGUAGCUUGGUUCCAUCUCUCAAAUUCACUGCAGUCAUCUUAUCAUUGGAGUCGAAAUCAAAUGAUGUCAAGACCGUGCCUUUCACAAACUUAACUCCUUUUGACCGGUAAAAUUCUUCGUAGAAACUUGCAAUUUUAGGAGUAAAUAGGCGGGCCAUACAGUGUGCUUCUGGAAAGACCAUGGUGACAUUUAUUUUGCCAAUCACCAAAGAAGCAGCACAUUCCAUUCCUAUGUAGCCACCACCAAUUACAACAGCAUUGCCACCACCGCUAGAUUGCAUCACAUUAACCAGCCUGUUUGCAUCAGCCAAAUCCCGUAAAUAACAUACACUCUCAGCAUCUGAG